RNAcentral lists this ribosomal RNA (492 nucleotides) under uncultured bacterium. Its description in RNAcentral is "partial 16S ribosomal RNA". It matches the Rfam family "Bacterial small subunit ribosomal RNA", at positions 30 to 507 of the family's 1533-position model. The record is from RNAcentral.
AUUGAACGCUGGCGGCAUGCUUUACACAUGCAAGUCGAACGGUAACAGGCCUUCGGGUGCUGACGAGUGGCGAACGGGUGAGUAAUGCAUCGGAACGUGCCCAGAGGUGGGGGAUAACGCAGCGAAAGCUGUGCUAAUACCGCAUGUGAUCUGAGGAUGAAAGCGGGGGACCAGGCGGCAAUGUUUGGCCUCGCGCCUUUGGAGCGGCCGAUGUCAGAUUAGGUAGUUGGUGGGGUAAAGGCCUACCAAGCCGACGAUCUGUAGCUGGUCUGAGAGGACGACCAGCCACACUGGGACUGAGACACGGCCCAGACUCCUACGGGAGGCAGCAGUGGGGAAUUUUGGACAAUGGGCGCAAGCCUGAUCCAGCAAUGCCGCGUGCGGGAAGAAGGCCUUCGGGUUGUAAACCGCUUUUGUACGGAACGAAAAGGCUCUGGCUAAUACCUGGGGCUGAUGACGGUACCGUAAGAAUAAGCACCGGCUAACUACGUG